This 256-nucleotide ribosomal RNA is filed under the name Escherichia coli. RNAcentral describes it as "partial 23S ribosomal RNA". It matches the Rfam family "Bacterial large subunit ribosomal RNA", at positions 2692 to 2925 of the family's 2925-position model. The record is from RNAcentral. Lineage: Bacteria; Pseudomonadati; Pseudomonadota; Gammaproteobacteria; Enterobacterales; Enterobacteriaceae.
CCGGAGUGGACGCAUCACUGGUGUUCGGGUUGUCAUGCCAAUGGCACUGCCCGGUAGCUAAAUGCGGAAAAGAUAAGUGCUGAAAGCAUCUAAGCACGAAACUUGCCCCGAGAUGAGUUCUCCCUGAGACCUUGAGUCUCCUGAAGGAACGUUGAAGACGACGACGUUGAUAGGUCGGGUGUGUAAGCGCAGCGAUGCGUUGAGCUAACCGAUACUAAUGAACCGUGAGGCUUAACCUUACAACGCCGAAGCUGUU